Molecule: ribosomal RNA, 594 nt
Filed under: Papiliotrema laurentii
Lineage: Eukaryota; Fungi; Basidiomycota; Tremellomycetes; Tremellales; Rhynchogastremaceae
Description: eukaryotic LSU rRNA
Rfam family: Eukaryotic large subunit ribosomal RNA
Source: RNAcentral
AACUAACAAGGAUUCCCCUAGUAACGGCGAGUGAACCGGGAAGAGCUCAAAUUUGAAAUCUGGCGUCCUCAGGGCGUCCGAGUUGUAAUCUAUAGAGGCGUUUUCCGUGCCGGACCGUGUCCAAGUUCCUUGGAACAGGAUAUCAAAGAGGGUGACAAUCCCGUACUUGACACGACGACCGGUGCUCUGUGAUACGUCUUCUACGAGUCGAGUUGUUUGGGAAUGCAGCUCAAAAUGGGUGGUGAGUUCCAUCUAAAGCUAAAUAUUGGCGAGAGACCGAUAGCGAACAAGUACCGUGAGGGAAAGAUGAAAAGCACUUUGGAAAGAGAGUUAAACAGUACGUGAAAUUGUUGAAAGGGAAACGAUUGAAGUCAGUCGUGACCGAGAGGCUCAGCCGGCUCUGCCGGUGUAUUCCCCUCGGUCGGGUCAACAUCAGUUUUGUCCGGUGGAUAAGGGCGGUAGGAAGGUGGCACCCUCGGGUGUGUUAUAGCCUGCCGUCGCAUACAUCGGGUGAGACUGAGGAACGCAGCUCGCCUUUAUGGCCGGGGUUCGCCCACGUCCGAGCUUAGGAUGUUGACAUAAUGGCUUUAAACG